This 73-nucleotide transfer RNA is filed under the name Candidatus Bathyarchaeota archaeon. RNAcentral's name for it is "tRNA-Asn". It matches the Rfam family "tRNA". Rfam says of the family: Transfer RNA (tRNA) molecules are approximately 80 nucleotides in length. Their secondary structure includes four short double-helical elements and three loops (D, anti-codon, and T loops). The record is from RNAcentral. Lineage: Archaea; Thermoproteati; Candidatus Bathyarchaeota.
UGGCGGGUAGUUCAACUGGCAGAACGCCGCACUGUUAAUGCGGUAGUUGAAGGUUCGAAUCCUUCCCCGUCAG